RNAcentral lists this ribosomal RNA (442 nucleotides) under uncultured bacterium. Its description in RNAcentral is "partial 16S ribosomal RNA". It matches the Rfam family "Bacterial small subunit ribosomal RNA", at positions 338 to 795 of the family's 1533-position model. The record is from RNAcentral.
CCUACGGGAGGCAGCAGUGGGGAAUAUUGGGCAAUGGGCGCAAGCCUGACGCAGCAACGCCGCGUGAAGGAAGAAGGCUUUCGGGUUGUAAACUUCUUUUAAGGGGGACGAACAAAUGACGGUACCCCUUGAAUAAGCCACGGCUAACUACGUGCCAGCAGACGCGGUAAUACGGAGGUGGCAAGCGUUAUCCGGAAUUAUUGGGUGUAAAGGGCGGGUAGGCGGGAGCGCAAGUCAGAUGUGAAAACUCAGGGCUCAACCCUGGGCCUGCAUUUGAAACUGGGUUUCUUGAGUGCUGGAGAGGCAAUCGGAAUUCCGUGUGUAGCGGUGAAAUGCGUAGAUAUACGGAGGAACACCAGUGGCGAAGGCGGAUUGCUGGACAGUAACUGACGCUGAGGCGCGAAAGCGUGGGGAGCAAACAGGAUUAGAUACCCCGGUAGUC